UUCCGGUUGAUCCUGCCGGACCUGACUGCUAUCGGAUUGAUACUAAGCCAUGCGAGUCUUUGUAGCAAUACAAGGCAGACGGCUCAGUAACACGUAGUCAAUCUAACCUAUGGACGAGGAUAACCUCGGGAAACUGAGAAUAAUACUCGAUAGACCAUAAUGCCUGGAACGGUUUAUGGUUCAAAUGAAUUUCGCCAUAGGGUGGGACUGCGGUCUAUCAGCUUGUUGGUGAGGUAAUGGCCCACCAAGGCUAUAACAGAUACGGGCUCUGAGAGGAGAAGCCCGGAGAUGGGUACUGAGACACGGACCCAGGCCCUAUGGGGCGCAGCAGGCGAGAAAACUUUGCAAUGUGCGAAAGCACGACAAGGUUAAUCCGAGUGGUUCCUGCUAAAGGAACCUUUUGUUAGUCAUAAUAUCACUAUUGAAUAAGGGGUGGGCAAGUUCUGGUGUCAGCCGCCGCGGUAAAACCAGCACCUCAAGUGGUCAGGAGGAUUAUUGGGCCUAAAGCAUCCGUAGCCGGCUCUGUUAGUUCUCGGUUAAAUCUAUACGCUCAACGUAUGGGCUGCCGGGAAUACUGCAAAGCUAGGAAGUGGGAGAGGUAGACGGUACUCCGUAGGAAGGGGUAAAAUCCUUUGAUCUAUGGAUGACCACCUGUGGCGAAGGCGGUCUACCAGAACACGUUCGACGGUGAGGGAUGAAAGCUGGGGGAGCAAACCGGAUUAGAUACCCGGGUAGUCCCAGCUGUAAACUAUGCAAACU
RNAcentral lists this ribosomal RNA (759 nucleotides) under uncultured archaeon. RNAcentral describes it as "bacterial SSU rRNA". It matches the Rfam family "Archaeal small subunit ribosomal RNA", at positions 1 to 768 of the family's 1478-position model. The record is from RNAcentral.